GAUGAACGCUGGCGGCGUGCCUAAUACAUGCAAGUCGAGCGAACGGACGAGAAGCUUGCUUCUCUGAUGUUAGCGGCGGACGGGUGAGUAACACGUGGAUAACCUACCUAUAAGACUGGGAUAACUUCGGGAAACCGGAGCUAAUACCGGAUAAUAUUUUGAACCGCAUGGUUCAAAAGUGAAAGACGGUCUUGCUGUCACUUAUAGAUGGAACCGCGCUGCAUUAGCUAGUUGGUAAGGUAACGGCUUACCAAGGCAACGAUGCAUAGCCGACCUGAGAGGGUGAUCGGCCACACUGGAACUGAGACACGGUCCAGACUCCUACGGGAGGCAGCAGUAGGGAAUCUUCCGCAAUGGGCGAAAGCCUGACGGAGCAACGCCGCGUGAGUGAUGAAGGUCUUCGGAUCGUAAAACUCUGUUAUUAGGGAAGAACAUAUGUGUAAGUAACUGUGCACAUCUUGACGGUACCUAAUCAGAAGGCCACGGCUAACUACGUG
This 497-nucleotide ribosomal RNA is filed under the name uncultured bacterium. RNAcentral describes it as "partial 16S ribosomal RNA". It matches the Rfam family "Bacterial small subunit ribosomal RNA", at positions 28 to 507 of the family's 1533-position model. The record is from RNAcentral.